This 433-nucleotide ribosomal RNA is filed under the name uncultured bacterium. RNAcentral's name for it is "partial 16S ribosomal RNA". It matches the Rfam family "Bacterial small subunit ribosomal RNA", at positions 29 to 507 of the family's 1533-position model. The record is from RNAcentral.
AACGAACGCUGGCGGCAUGCCUAACACAUGCAAGUCGAACGAGACCUUCGGGUCUAGUGGCGCACGGGUGCGUAACGCGUGGGAACCUGCACUUAGGUUCGGAAUAACUCCCCGAAAGGGGUGCUAAUACCGGAUAAUGUCUUAGGACCAAAGAUUUAUCGCCUUUGGAUGGGCCCGCGUUGGAUUAGCUAGUUGGUAGGGUAAAAGCCUACCAAGGCGACGAUCCAUAGCUGGUCUGAGAGGAUGAUCAGCCACACUGGGACUGAGACACGGCCCAGACUCCUACGGGAGGCAGCAGUGGGGAAUAUUGGACAAUGGGCGAAAGCCUGAUCCAGCAAUGCCGCGUGAGUGAUGAAGGCCUUAGGGUUGUAAAGCUCUUUUACCCGGGAUGAUAAUGACAGUACCGGGAGAAUAAGCUCCGGCUAACUCCGUG